This is a long non-coding RNA of Clupea harengus (Atlantic herring), 1117 nucleotides long. Lineage: Eukaryota; Metazoa; Chordata; Actinopteri; Clupeiformes; Clupeidae. The record is from Ensembl.
GCUGAAGGUAUAUACAGCUGUGACCCCCCCCCUCUGAGGGUAUAUAGAGCUUCUGACCCCCUAUGUGUGUGUUUGUGAUUAUGUGUGUGAGAGAGAGAGAGAGACGUCUUUGCGUGUAUGUGUGUUUGUGAUUAUGUGUGUGAGAGAGAGAGAGACACGUCUUUGCAUGUAUGUGUGUUUGUGAUAAUGUGUGUGUGAGAGAGAGAGAGACGUCUUUGCGUGUGUGUGUGUUUGUGAUUAUGUGUGUGUGUGAGAGAGACACGUCUUUGCGUGUGUGUGUGUUUGUGAUUAUGUGUGUGAGAGUGAGAGAGAGACGUCUUUGCGUGUAUGUGUGUGUUUGUGAUUAUGUGUGUGUGAGGGAGAGAGAAAGAUAUCUUUGCGUGUAUGUGUGUUUGUGAUUGUGUGUGUGUGAGAGAGAGAGAGACGUCUUUGCGUGUAUGUGUGUUUGUGAUUAUGUGUGUGUGACAGAGACGUCUUUGUGUGUGUGUGUGUUUGUGAUUAUGUGUGUGUGAGAGAGAGAGAUGUCUUUGCGUGUAUGUGUGUGUAUGUGUGUUUGUGAUUAGGUGUGUGUGAGAGAGAGAGAGAGAGAUGUCUUUGCGUGUGUGUGUGUUUUUGAUUAUGUGUGUGAGAGGGAGAGAGAGAUGUCUUUGCGUGUAGGUGUGUUUGUGAUAGUGUGUGUGUGAGAGAGAGAGAGAUGUCUUUGCGUGUAUGUGUGUUUGUGAUUAUGUGUGUGUGUGUGUGAGAGAGAGACGUCUUUGCGUGUAUGUGUGUGUGUGAUUAUGUGUGUGUGAGAGAGGGAGAGAUGUCUUUGCGUGUGUGUGUGUUUGUGAUUAUGUGUGUGUGUGUGAGAGAGAGAGAGAGAUGUCUUUGCGUGUAUGUGUGUUUAUGAUUAUGUGUGUGUGUGUGUGAGAGAGAGACGUCUUUGCGUGUAUGUGUGUGUGUGAUUAUGUGUGUGUGAGAGAGGGAGAGAUGUCUUUGCGUGUGUGUGUGUUUGUGAUUAUGUGUGUGUGAGAGAGAGAGAGAGAGAGAGACGUCUUUGCGUGGCAGGGAGAGGUUUUCUCUUUGUGUGUGUGUUUGUGUUUGUGUUUGUGUGUGAGAGAGAGAGUGUCUUUGCGUG